This 814-nucleotide ribosomal RNA is filed under the name Dacrymyces longistipitatus. RNAcentral's name for it is "eukaryotic LSU rRNA". It matches the Rfam family "Eukaryotic large subunit ribosomal RNA", at positions 68 to 932 of the family's 3401-position model. The record is from RNAcentral. Lineage: Eukaryota; Fungi; Basidiomycota; Dacrymycetes; Dacrymycetales; Dacrymycetaceae.
ACAAGGAUUCCCCUAGUAACUGCGAGUGAAGCGGGAAAAGCUCAAAUUUAAAAGCCAAUAAGGCGUUGUAAUCUAGAGAAGUGUUUUCGGGCCGCUGCCUCAGACAAGUUCCUUGGAACAGGAUGUCAAAGAGGGUGAGAAUCCCGUACUUACUGAGCGACCAGCGUCUAUGUGAUACACUUUCGAAGAGUCGAGUUGUUUGGGAAUGCAGCUCAAAACGGGUGGUAAACUCCAUCUAAAGCUAAAUAUUGGCGAGAGACCGAUAGCGAACAAGUACCGUGAGGGAAAGAUGAAAAGCACUUUGGAAAGAGAGUUAAACAGUACGUGAAAUUGCUAAAAGGGAAGCGCUUGAAGUCAGUCGCGUUGCUUGGACUCAGCCGCAAGGCGCAUUUCCUGGUAACGGGCCAACAUCAAUUUUGACCGCGGGAUAAGGACUUGAGGAAGGUGGCAACCACGGUUGUGUUAUAGCCUCUUGUCGUACACCGUGGUUGGGAUUGAGGAAUCUUAGGAUGUUGGCGUAAUGGCUUUAAGCGACCCGUCUUGAAACACGGACCAAGGAGUCUAACAUGUCUGCGAGUGUUUGGGUGUUAAACCCAUGCGCGCAAUGAAAGUGAACGUAGGUGGGAGGCCUCGGCCGCACCAUCGACCGAUCCGGAUCUUUAGUGAUGGAUUUGAGUAAGAGCAUAUAUGUUGGGACCCGAAAGAUGGUGAACUAUGCCUGAAUAGGGCGAAGCCAGAGGAAACUCUGGUGGAGGCUCGUAGCGAUUCUGACGUGCAAAUCGAUCGUCAAAUUUGGGUAUAGGGGCGAAAGACU